UGUUUGAGAAGUAAUUUAUUAAAAAAAGAAUAAAAUACAUUAAGUAUUCGAGACUGCAGAGGAACUAUUCAGGAACAGCGAGGGUUUAAAAUAAAACAAAACGAAUUUUAGUCUUUUUUACUACUCUCUCCAAAUAGAUUCAAAACUAUACUGUCUUUUAGAUUAUUAUCAACUUAAUUAAAAAAUAAAAUCAAAUUAUAUAAGAAAAAAAUUUAAACAGUAGUCAUUUAAUCUUGAUGGUACAAACAGAGCUCAGAUGCCAAAAGCUCGUCAUCUCACGUUUACGGUUACGUUUAUGAAGAGUUGUGCAACCGAUCAGCCCACAGCAUCAGUCCGAUUGAUAAUGACCGUAGCUCGGUUGCAAACUCAUGACCGAUCGAUUGGCAUUUGACGGAGCCUUUGUCGCGCCGGGUGGGUGUUUAAGUGACACAGUAACUAUUGCGAAGCGAGCGCUAUCACAGGUACUGCUUCACCAUUCGAGUACUGAAGGCGAUUUAAGGUUCCGGGUGGAAAGUGAGCUCAGUCUGAGAGUGGGCGAACAACAAGUUCAAUUGCGAGUCCAAUCCCACGUUGAAAACUUUCAUUAGCCUGGCAGCGGCCUGACCUGGGUCCUUGCGCACAAGUGCUACGCCAGAUACUUUCAUCAGAUGAACUUCGGAGUCCACAGAUCCGCCGCCAGUUGUAGCCAAUUUCACGUGGCAAGUAACGUCCACGUGAAUGUGUUUUUCUACCGCCUUCCCACGGGUCCCUGGAACGUCUACAUAUUCUGUCUUUUCCUCGACUUGAGGUAGGUCAGCUCGGAAAACACUGGCUUCACCCAAAAGACCCUGAAAUGAACAGAACAAAUUUUUAUUGGUUUAUUUAAAAUUGCAACACUGUUACCUCUCAAGGUAAGUCGACAAACUAUUAUUGGCAGAUGGCCAGAGAAAUAAAUCGUACGCAUAUGAUCUAUGCUUCUGCCAAAAGCUACUGUGCUCUUUGCCAUAGACAAAAAUAAAUUGCGGAGUAAACAAUCCAAACAAAAAGCAAACGAGUUAGAAUUAUUCUUGCAUUUAAAUUGGACAGGGGCCAAAAUGCGGCGUCAGUCUGUAAAUAAAUAUGAAUAAGUAAACAGGUAUUCUACCCACCCCAUUUCCUGUAAUACUGAAUUUCAUUCCUGGAUGAAUGGCGCGUGGCUCCAUGCCUACACCUUCAGGAUGCGAGUCGGACCAGAAAUAGUUUUCAGGCGUGUUAAGCGAGUCAGGCUUAAAAGUGAUGCGCUUGCCGUAUCCCAUCCCAAUGGACUGCAACAGUAAGCUACGUCCUUCGAAAAGAUGUCUUCGGCUACCUGCUGGCCUUACGCGAUAGUGGAAGCCAGGAAUGAUACGAGGAUCGACAUAUGUGCCUAUAAAGAAAAAUAAAAUAAUGAAUUGACUAUGCGAUGGUAUACCACCAACCUAUCUCUUCCUGAGGGUGUUUAUAAGGAUUUACUGGAAAACAAGCAGCAGCGUUAUAUUGUUAUUAGCGCAUAAUACCAAUAACUGUAAUUUCAAACCAUACACUAAUGGCAAGUUUGAAGAAUGGAACAGCCGUCAAACAAUACAAACGAAACUUCAAUUUAAUGUAUCAGGGUGCUUAGUGGUAUUCACGUUGUGUGGCUAGGUUUGAUAACCACAUAACACCAAAACGAAAUAAAGUGAUUUAUAGAAAAAAAUCAAAAGAAAAACGGAAUUACGUACCGAUAACUGGAAGUUCGUAUUUUUCGAGCCCUACAACGCAAUACUGACAAGGAAUGUCUUUAAUAUCAGCGCCAUUUACGGUAACUCGUCUUGAAGACGACUGGAUGCCGGGCUUUAGUUCGUAACCCUUUCGGAGUUGUUUGAUCCCAAUAGCUACAUUCACAACACGGACGACAGCUGCAUCACCACGACCCUUCUUCAGAAUGGCAACACCAGUGACGGGCAUCAAUUUAAUGGCGCCAUCGUUUUCAUACCACUCGACUUUACAUAGUGUAUUAAUUUUAACUUUCUUUUCAAUCGAACCGUCUUCGUAGAUCUUCUGGUCAAACUCGACUUGAUUUUUCUAAGGAAAAUGAAAAACGUUAGAACACAAAAACGACGAGUCAAUUAAUAAAAUAGUGUUUUAAAAUAAAAGGUAAAUGGUAAAUGGUAAAUAUGAUAAAUGGUAAACGGUAAAAGGUAAAUGAUUUAAGUUAAAUUAUUUACCUGUUGCUCCACUACUUCCAAAAUGCCUUGCGGCUCAUGAUUGGCAUCGUAAAUCGUGAAUUUAUCACCAACCGAAACCGCCUCAAUCUCAAAUACGAAUCCUUCUGGUCUUGAGUCGGUCCAGAAGUAAUUGGUGUUUUCAUUGAGCGUCGAGUUGUGGGGUUCAAAUGUAAGUCUGCGAGCAAAUCCACGUCCUAUCGACUGCAGAGUCAAGGCUUUACCUCCGAACAAGUAUCUUGGCUUCACUGACAGUGGGGGCGCAUCCAAAGCCUGAAAUAUUGAUUCUAAUAAAAUGAACAGCUCCUACUGAACUCUAAUUUUCUUGAUAUAUUUAUUUAACUAUUAAAAUGAAGAACAUAAUAUUUUGGAAGAUGGCCGUUUCAAUGUCAAUUUUUCUAACAAUUAAGAUAAUAUUUUGAAAUUUUAAUAACAACCAUAUCUAUUUUAUAUGACAUUUUCGUUUAAAUAUUAUACAAUUGGUAUUUAAUUUUGAACAGAAUAACGUAUCACUAUGAUUAUUUUUUUGAGAUUUAAUUCUGAAUAUCUCUUUUUAAUAGGUUUUGAGCGUGCGCUGUUGAUAAGAAAUUAGUAUGUGAACAGGUUGUGACUGAAUCGAAAGAUCGUAUUUCCCUGAUUUCAUGCUCAACAAGCACAAUGAUAGUAAAAAUAAUCAUAGCCCCAAUGAGUUUCAAGAAAAAUCAAACAUGAUAAAUGGCAUAAAUGGCCUUAUGAAUGAUACUAUGGUUUACCUAUUAUGGACACAAUAUGCUGGCAUCCACUGUGUCACUUUCGACCUGUCGGGUCACCGCGUGGUUUCUUGAUUUUGUAUGAACGCCGCUCUGGGCGAAGUUCUGAAAAACUGGACGAUCCACAUACCAUCGCCUACAACGGCUAGCACAGAACCAGGCGACUAAACAGCAAGUCAACAGUGUUGAACGUUGAUGAUAUUUUCAUUCUGGAAAUGUCAGCAACGGACACCGCUACCUACUGAGCUAAUACCGGACUAACUAAUGUAACCGAAUCGUUCUGGACCACUGAAAUCGACCAGCUGACGAUGAAAUACCGAAUUUAAAUUGAAACUGCGGUAAACUAUCUCAUAGUUUUAAGAUUCAACAGUAGCUUUUAACAGCAUCGCGUGAGGAUGUCAUUACAUUGUAUGUUUUGUUAAAUAUCUCUUUAAAUACUUUGUUAUAUUUUAAAUCCAAUGAUUUUGAACAAUUAGAUGUUAAAUACGAUAUCAUAGAAUAACAAUUCUGACAAUUGGUUUUUUAUCAUUAAAGUAGGAAAACAAUAUUGCUGGACAUAAAUUAAAAAUACCUAUAAUAUACCUAACAAAAUUAUGACAGCCUCAUCAAAACAACGCGUGCAUUACCAAUUUAUUUCGAAAAUAACUACAUCCGUUUCAUUACAAAUAAUUUUUUAAAUUCAUUAAUAUCGGUUGUGAUUACAAAAUGGAACGUCACGAUAAUUCUUUUUUUUUUUAUCACAACAAAAACUUGUAAAUGGCAACGAUUGACAAAUGUGUAGUUCAUGUAAUUACUAGAAUUAUUCGUUACGUCCAUCAACAUUUUUGUAAGACAAGAAUUCACUCACCAUCCUCUUGAUUCUGAAAAGGAUUUUAACCUUGCAAAAACGUUCUGAACUAACCACAACCGAUCUUUUUUCCGGUCCGUUUUAAAUUAUUCAAUGACAUAUAAUAAUAAAAAAAACACUCUGUACAUGGUAAUGCGAGGUGAUUUUGAUGACCACGAUUUUGUUAAAAGCUAUCAUCUUAAAAACCAAAUACAACCAAUAUAGUAAGUACAUCGUCUAUUUAAGCGCGGUCGUUUCUUUUGCAGUCCAGUUUUUAAUCAAUUUUGCCAGUUUUUUUAAAAUGCGUAUUGGAUCUUCGAGGUUUUCCCGUUUUUACCGUGAAGCCUUAGAAAUGAUGCGCAAGCAUUUUACAUCAUA
Molecule: long non-coding RNA, 4154 nt
Organism: Bombyx mori (domestic silkworm)
Lineage: Eukaryota; Metazoa; Arthropoda; Insecta; Lepidoptera; Bombycidae
Exons: 2
Source: RefSeq, a predicted model, not a curated record